GCAAAAUAUCACAUUUAACACAGGGAAACACCCAAUUGGCUGUAAUAACCCAACUGCUACCUUUUUUAUCCCUAAGCUGUGAAUGCGUUUAAGAUUUACAGACAUUUGCUUCACAAGGGAUUCCAUGAAGCCUGGGAGGUGAUAACGACAAGCGCAGAGAGACACUUGACAAGGAAGAUAAAUUAAAAAAGGGAAAAUUGAAUGAGAAAAGAGAUGUCAAUUGGUUGUGCUUGUGCGUGAGCUGAUGAAAGUUGUGUUCAUUAACAGAUAUAUGAUUUUACUAGAGAUUGGAUGGCUGAUAGUAGCACACAAAUGGUGGAAGUGGCACCUGAGAUGACAUAUAGAAUCCAUAAACUUCUCAGCUUCAAACUGUCUGUAUCAUCGGAGGUCACGUUGGAGCAUGAUGCCGGUGAGGUAAUCAACCACUUCUCUUCCAAUCUCUUCAGCUCUGCUUUUUUUGAGAGAUGUAAUAUAGCUUUUGACACGUCUCUGGCCACUGGCGAGCCUUUCUGGAACAUCUGCAUUAGAUUA
This is a long non-coding RNA of Glycine soja, 531 nucleotides long. RefSeq lists it as uncharacterized. The transcript has 4 exons. NCBI's taxonomy places the organism in Eukaryota, Viridiplantae, Streptophyta, Magnoliopsida, Fabales, Fabaceae. The record is from RefSeq and is a predicted model, not a curated record.